Molecule: ribosomal RNA, 762 nt
Filed under: uncultured bacterium
Lineage: Bacteria
Description: partial 16S ribosomal RNA
Rfam family: Bacterial small subunit ribosomal RNA
Source: RNAcentral
CCCGCCGGUAAUAAAGGGGGGGGGGAGGUUUAUAUUGAAAUAACUGGGGUAAAAAAGGGGCGUGGGGUUUUUUUAAAAAGGGUUUAAAACCCCCGGGUUUUAACCUGGGGAAGCCCUUGGGACGUUUUAUCUAAGUUUGGUGAGAGGGAAGGGAAUUUUCCGGGGUGGGGGGGAAAAUUGGAAAUUUGGGAGGAACCCCCUUGGGGGAGGGGAUUUUCUGGGCCAAGAAGACCGCUGGGGGGCGAAAGGUGGGGAUCAACCAGGAUUUAAUACCUUGUAUUCCCCCCCUUUAAGGAGAGGAAUGGCCGUGGGGGAGUUAAAUCCUUGAGUGGUUCAGCUAACGCGAUAAUUCUCCGCCUGGGGAGUACGCCGCAAAGGUUAAACUCAAAGGAUUGACGGGGCCCGCACAAGCGGUUGAGCAUGUGGUUUAUUUCGAUGCAACGCGAAGAACCUUACUGGNCCUUGACAUCUGCGGAACCUGGGAGAGAUCUCGGGGUGCCUUCGGGAACCGCAAGACAGGUGCUGCAUGGCUGUCGUCAGCUCGUGUCGUGAGAUGUUGGGUUAAGUCCCGCAACGAGCGCAACCCUUGUCCUUAGUUGCCAGCGUUAAGUCGGGCACUCUAAGGAGACUGCCGGUGACAAAUCGGAGGAAGGUGGGGAUGACGUCAAGUCAUCGUGGCCCUUAUGGCCAGGGCUACACACGUGCUACAAUGGCCAGUACAAUGGGUUGCCAACCUGUGAAGGGGAGCCAAUCCCAAAAAAC